GUGAGGAAUAUUGGUCAAUGGACGCGAGUCUGAACCAGCCAAGUAGCGUGAAGGAUGACUGCCCUAUGGGUUGUAAACUUCUUUUAUAUGGGAAUAAAGUUGUCCACGUGUGGAUUUUUGUAUGUACCAUAUGUAUAAGGAUCGGCUAACUCCGUGCCAGCAGCCGCGGUAAUACGGAGGAUCCGAGCGUUAUCCGGAUUUAUUGGGUUUAAAGGGAGCGUAGGCGGAUUGUUAAGUCAGUUGUGAAAGUUUGCGGCUCAACCGUAAAAUUGCAGUUGAUACUGGCAGUCUUGAGUGCAGUAGAGGUGGGCGGAAUUCGUGGUGUAGCGGUGAAAUGCUUAGAUAUCACGAAGAACUCCGAUUGCGAAGGCAGCUCACUGGAGUGUAACUGACGCUGAUGCUCGAAAGUGUGGGUAUCAAACAGGAUUAGAAACCCGAGUAGUCC
RNAcentral lists this ribosomal RNA (445 nucleotides) under uncultured bacterium. RNAcentral describes it as "partial 16S ribosomal RNA". It matches the Rfam family "Bacterial small subunit ribosomal RNA", at positions 354 to 796 of the family's 1533-position model. The record is from RNAcentral.